UGAUGAUGAUGAUAGUGAUGAUGUUGGUGGUGGUGGUGGUGAUGAUGACGACGAUGUUUGGAGGCACGACCUGCUACCACCACCGCCAUCACCAUAUCAUCAUUCUCCGCA
This 111-nucleotide microRNA precursor is filed under the name Anopheles gambiae (African malaria mosquito). RNAcentral's name for it is "microRNA mir-598". The record is from RNAcentral. Lineage: Eukaryota; Metazoa; Arthropoda; Insecta; Diptera; Culicidae.